GUGGGGAAUUUUGGACAAUGGGCGCAAGCCUGAUCCAGCAAUGCCGCGUGCAGGAAGAAGGCCUCGGGUUGUAAACUGCUUUUGUACGGAACGAAACGGUCCGGGUUAAUACCCUGGGCUAAUGACGGUACCGUAAGAAUAAGCACCGGCUAACUACGUGCCAGCAGCCGCGGUAAUACGUAGGGUGCAAGCGUUAAUCGGAAUUACUGGGCGUAAAGCGUGCGCAGGCGGUUUUGUAAGACAGGCGUGAAAUCCCCGGGCUCAACCUGGGAAUUGCGCUUGUGACUGCAAGGCUGGAGUGCGGCAGAGGGGGAUGGAAUUCCGCGUGUAGCAGUGAAAUGCGUAGAUAUGCGGAGGAACACCGAUGGCGAAGGCAAUCCCCUGGGCCUGCACUGACGCUCAUGCACGAAAGCGUGGGGAGCAAACAGGAUUAGAUACCCUGGUAGUCC
RNAcentral lists this ribosomal RNA (449 nucleotides) under uncultured bacterium. RNAcentral describes it as "partial 16S ribosomal RNA". It matches the Rfam family "Bacterial small subunit ribosomal RNA", at positions 354 to 796 of the family's 1533-position model. The record is from RNAcentral.